UUUAUAAAGAGUUUGAUCCUGGCUCAGGACGAACGCUGGCGGCGCGCCUAACACAUGCAAGUCGAACGAGCGAGAGAGAGCUUGCUUUCUCG
This 92-nucleotide ribosomal RNA is filed under the name Faecalibacterium prausnitzii. Its description in RNAcentral is "partial 16S ribosomal RNA". It matches the Rfam family "Bacterial small subunit ribosomal RNA", at positions 1 to 90 of the family's 1533-position model. The record is from RNAcentral. Lineage: Bacteria; Bacillati; Bacillota; Clostridia; Eubacteriales; Oscillospiraceae.